This 26-nucleotide non-coding RNA is filed under the name Rattus norvegicus (Norway rat). The record is from RNAcentral. Lineage: Eukaryota; Metazoa; Chordata; Mammalia; Rodentia; Muridae.
UAAGAUGGAGAAUCAGGGUAGCUGGU